RNAcentral lists this ribosomal RNA (528 nucleotides) under uncultured bacterium. RNAcentral's name for it is "bacterial SSU rRNA". It matches the Rfam family "Bacterial small subunit ribosomal RNA", at positions 777 to 1304 of the family's 1533-position model. The record is from RNAcentral.
AAUAGAUACCCAGGUAGUCCACGCCGUAAACGGUGGGCACUAGAUGUGGGGGCUCUUUCCAUGAGUUCCGCGUCGCAGCUAACGCAUUAAGUGCCCCGCCUGGGGAGUACGGCCGCAAGGCUAAAACUCAAAGGAAUUGACGGGGGCCCGCACAAGCGGCGGAGCAUGCGGAUUAAUUCGAUGCAACGCGAAGAACCUUACCAAGGCUUGACAUAUACGGUCUAUCCCUAGAGAUAGGGAGUGCUUCGGCGCCGUAUACAGGUGGUGCAUGGUUGUCGUCAGCUCGUGUCGUGAGAUGUUGGGUUAAGUCCCGCAACGAGCGCAACCCUCGUCCUAUGUUGCCAGCGGGUAAUGCCGGGGACUCAUGGGAGACUGCCGGGGUCAACUCGGAGGAAGGUGGGGAUGAGGUCAAAUCAUCAUGCCCCUUAUGUCUUGGGCUUCACGCAUGCUACAAUGGCCGGUACAAAGGGCUGCAAUACCGCAAGGUGGAGCGAAUCCCAAAAAGCCGGUCUCAGUUCGGAUUGAGGU